CUUUUCCAAAACGCCACGUUUCGCACCCGAAGAGCGUCUAAACAUCACGGGGGGAGACACAUCCACGUUUCCUGCUGAGAAAAGCCACAGCAGCGACAGGCGCGGCAGGGGCACGGCGGCCACCCACGAGUGGCCACCGCGGGCAAGUCCCACGUGCCACGGUCGCCAUCGCCCCCGGGCCGGCGGGGUCACGGCGGGACACGGGGGGAGCGCUGUGACGUCUCAAUGUCAAAUGCAAAUGAGGCAACGUCACCAGAGCGCAGCCAAUGGGAGCGGGGAACGACCGCCAAUCUUAAUCCGGUGAAGAAGAAACAAACAACGGGCGCGGGGGGGCCGGAGCCGAGGGGUCCCGAGCUGCCCCCGCCCCGCCCGGGCCGUGCGGGCCCGCAAAGCCCCAACCCCCCGGCCCCGGCCCCGGCCCCAGCGCGGCCCCGACCGCGUCCCGCGGACACUCACCGGCCCUGCGUGUCCCAGGCGGCGGAAGACGCUGAGAGGCCUCAUCUAAAGAGAAAUUUUGGACACGAAUGAGGGGCGGGGGCUGAAACCCCUGGAUGUGCCACCCAACCAUUACCCACCUGCGAGGAGGCUCAGGGGCUUCGUGAAGAACGACACCAGGAACAUCCCUGGAGUGUCACAACCCCUCAGGAUGCUUGGCACCACCAGGUUUGCCUUCGUCCCAGGCAUGGGCUGACCGUGGCACCAAGGUAUGGUUUGACAUGGUGCCAGGCUUGUCACACGGCAGGAUAUUGUCUGUAUAAAGAUAGAACAUUUAUUAAAACAGUCAUUAAUGGA
This is a long non-coding RNA of Vidua chalybeata, 792 nucleotides long. RefSeq lists it as uncharacterized. NCBI's taxonomy places the organism in Eukaryota, Metazoa, Chordata, Aves, Passeriformes, Viduidae. The transcript has 2 exons. The record is from RefSeq and is a predicted model, not a curated record.